Molecule: non-coding RNA, 1829 nt
Organism: Macaca mulatta (Rhesus monkey)
Lineage: Eukaryota; Metazoa; Chordata; Mammalia; Primates; Cercopithecidae
Source: RefSeq, a predicted model, not a curated record
AAGUGGGGAAAAGCCAGCAGUUACAGGCCUCACCCCGCUCCCAUGCAGCUCAAAAGGCUAGUCUCAUUCCUACUGCCCCACCCAACAGCACUGAGUUUAUCUCCAGGCAGUAGGCGUGCAGGACUGAGAAUCUGGCCCAGGUUACCAGUCUCCUGGCUGAGAAAGCAAGCAGGGCUUUCAAGUUUCGCGCCUCCCUGUGUCUGCUGCAACUUCUGUGCUGUGCCUGUACUGGCUAUCCACCCCUCCCCCAGGUUCUGUCCAGAAAACUUCACGUUCUGUCAACAUUGUAACAAAAUACAGCUAGAAGUUUUCUUCUCCCUGUGUUUUUUUCCCAGUUUCUCUGUCAGUCCUCCCCAAGGACCCCUGUGAGACAAAGUUGGAAAUAACUUCCCUGGGGACCAAGAGUGCCCGCAGGACUCUUCCCGCUGCUUCUUCUACCUCUGUAUUUUGCUUGGCUCUUUAAGUUUCUCUCAACUCCAGUGUUUUGGCUGUCUCCAGGGGUCUACAGCAGCAAUCCGCUUCCUUUGAAGGGCCUGUGGAUCCUCUCAGCUUUCCUGAAGGGGCAGCAGAAGAUAGGAAGAACAUAGAUCUCAACCUGAGGUUUAUCAAAGAUCAGAUCGUUGUCAUGGCAUGACAAGGAUGACCUUUCCAGCCUACAAUACCUGCUUGACCACUAAGACCAAAUAGCUCAAAUUAAAGGUAACAAAUUCCACAGGGACAAUUGUUCAACACAGGAAAAAGAAACCACCACUUUAAGAAUUUUAAACUAGAAGAGAUUUUACAGAAGAUGUUUUAAACAAAACCAUUGGAUGACCUGGAAUAACAAUGUCGGAAACUCAGCUGAGCUGGAUAGAGAACUCAGCUACCCAUUGUUGGAGAAGUUGAUUAAAGCAGCAGUAAAGAUCGAAGUAACAAUCAAGCCUUCAAUCACUUACUGCAAUAGUAUAAGCAAGAGGCCAAAACCAAAGAAACUGCCAACUCACCCAGGCCUUCUAAAUUCCCCAGAAAGGUGCACUGGUGGAGGGUCAGUGAAUGAGGACAGACAUGGGGGUCAGCUCACUAUUGAGGAAGCCCCAAACAAAUAUCUCCAGUAGAAUUACGAACCCUGGAGCAGGAGGUUGGAGUGGGAGGGGGAGAGCUAGGAGUAGAAGAGUAUGGAGUCAGAGGAGGGAACGGUUUCUUAAGCUUUCCUCCCACUCCACUCAUAAGAAAGCUUAAGCAGAAGCACCCGAAGAAAGCUCCAGCAGGAAGCCCUCAGAUAAAGAAACUUCUGAAUGAGGACACCUAGGUUAGGAAUGCAAAUAAGUUUAAGAACAUGCGCCAUUAGGAGGAUCUGAGUUCCUGAAUGCAAUUCUCUUUAAAGAUUGGAUUGCACUGGGUAUGCCCCAAGUCUGGGGAAGGCAACUUUCCUCGGAGGGGUUUGCCCGGUAAAGCCUUUGUCAUUGCCUGUGGUUGAGCCUGAAAUAUCAAACAUAGAUUUUUGGCCAGGACUCCUCAGCAGGAUCUAGUCAGGGCCUUCACGAAGUACAUUCAGAAUGACAAUUGACCCACCAGAAAGCCACCAUGCCACUACUUGAUAUUUUAAAUGAAAGGAUAUAUCUGAUAUCCAUAUCUGAUACCCAGUAGAAUUGGAAUGCUGCUAUCACCACUGUCGCUAUUGUCACUACCACACCUGCCUCUAGACACCUAGCAACCUAGAGGAUGGACCUUGGAGAAUGUUGCAGGCAAACCUCAUUUCUCUACUGUACUUUCCACCAACAGUCAAUUAAAGGAAGAUGAAGAUCGAGUGUGUGUGGAUGAUACAGCAAAUAAACCUUCUAGUUCUUAAA